Molecule: ribosomal RNA, 482 nt
Filed under: uncultured bacterium
Lineage: Bacteria
Description: partial 16S ribosomal RNA
Rfam family: Bacterial small subunit ribosomal RNA
Source: RNAcentral
AUUGAACGCUGGCGGCAUGCUUUACACAUGCAAGUCGAACGGCAGCGCGGGGCAACCUGGCGGCGAGUGGCGAACGGGUGAGUAAUAUAUCGGAACGUACCCAGAAGUGGGGGAUAACGUAGCGAAAGUUACGCUAAUACCGCAUACGAUCUACGGAUGAAAGUAGGGGACCGCAAGGCCUUAUGCUUUUGGAGCGGCCGAUAUCUGAUUAGCUAGUUGGUGAGGUCAAGGCUCACCAAGGCGACGAUCAGUAGCUGGUCUGAGAGGACGACCAGCCACACUGGAACUGAGACACGGUCCAGACUCCUACGGGAGGCAGCAGUGGGGAAUUUUGGACAAUGGGCGCAAGCCUGAUCCAGCAAUGCCGCGUGAGUGAAGAAGGCCUUCGGGUUGUAAAGCUCUUUUGUCAGGGAAGAAACGGUAGAGGCUAAUAUCCUUUGCUAAUGACGGUACCUGAAGAAUAAGCACCGGCUAACUACGUG